Molecule: non-coding RNA, 743 nt
Organism: Myodes glareolus (Bank vole)
Lineage: Eukaryota; Metazoa; Chordata; Mammalia; Rodentia; Cricetidae
Source: RefSeq, a predicted model, not a curated record
UUUAUAUGAUAUUGGUGAUGGAGCCCAGAGCUUCGUGGCUCCGGAAGCCAGGAGGCCGGGACUCAAAGAAUCCCCUGCGAACAGAGGUGCGGACAGAACAAUCGUGAAGACCCGACGAGAGCGCCGGAACUAGCACCAACGCCUGGUGGAAGCCUGAUGAAUCCGGUUUGAAAGUCCGGCGUCCAGACCUUUCCCUCCACACACCAGGGAAAAGGAGAGGCGGGCUGAACAUCUUCAGUAGCCAAUGGUCAGGCCCGGGAACUGCCUACAACAGGCACAGGUCCCGCCCGAGUCUUCGCUGGGAUUGGCUGGCUGCGCGCUGUACUCUACUUUGGAUUGGCUGCUUGUCUACGGUCCCGCCCCGACACGUGCUGAUAGGUUUCGUGUCCCGGUUUGGCUGCGGUCUUGGCUUUAGGCGGAUGCAGGGGCUUGGCGGAGAGUGUCCCACAGGUAUCCAUCUCUGUUUGGAAGGACACACAUUGUCACAUACCAGGUAGGAUUCCUACAAGGUACUGCUAACCACCUACACUGCCAUCAAAAUGAAAUCUCCAGACUCAGCGUGGCCAAGUAGAUCCAGGUGAUCAUACAAUAAUCAGAAGAUUCACUUACUUUGUGUGGGGCUAGCGUCCCUCUACGGUGCAGUCGAGCAGACCCAGGACCUGCUGUACACUAUGCAAGCCUUCUAGCCAAACUGCAUGUCUCGUCCCUUAUUAUGAAUUUUAAUAAACAUCUUCUCUACAUUU